UAAUUAUUCAAUCGAAUCCAAAUCCAUUAAAGUUUAAAGUACAAAAAAUUACUUUCAAUGUAUACGACGAGAUCGCUCGAGAAGCUUUCCAUAUUAGCCGACGUGACAUGAUAUGGACCCCUCUCUAUCAGCGAGAUCGAGUUUAACUUUCGGAGAAACACUGUGCGUGGUGUUCAUUCCGCUGAUCGGAAUCGCUGAAGCCUUGUUUUAUGGCUUAACAAGUUGCUUCAGUUUCCGAAGCUUAGAGCAGAAGAAGAAGAAAGAGAAGAAGUUUUCUUCUACGUUUGAGGAUAUUCUCGCACUCGCUAAUGAUUCUCCUUUUAAUGUGAAUGAAGUAGAGGCUUUGCAUGAGUUGUACAAGAAGUUGAGUUGUUCAAUCAUUGAUGAUGGUCUUAUACACAAAGAAGAGCUUACGUUGGCAUUAAUGAAGACCGCGGUUGGCAAGAAUCUUUUCCUUGAUAGGGUGUUUGAUCUCUUUGAUGAAAAAAAGAAUGGUGUUAUAGAAUUUGAGGAGUUUGUGCAUGCUCUCAGUGUCUUUCAUCCUAAUACUCCUUUGGAAAAGAAAAUUGAUUUUGCUUUUAGAUUGUAUGACUUGAGACAGACCGGAUACAUUGAACGAGAAGAAGUCCGACAAAUGGUGGUUGCCAUUUUAUCAGAAUGUGGCAUGGAUGUGGAAAAUGAAAUACUUGAAGCCAUUAUUGAUAAGACAUUUCAAGAUGCUGAUGCUGACAAGGAUGAUAAGAUCAGUAAAGAGGAGUGGAGGGAGUUUGUCAUUCGGAACCCCUCACUCUUAAGGCACCUGACUCUUCCUAAUCUGAAGGAGAUAACCACAGUAUUUACCAGUUUCAUUUUCAACACUGGAGUUGAAGAUUCCCACUGGUAACUCAACGGCUAGUCAAAAAUUGACAUCAAGGAGUGGAGCUUGUUCUGGUUUGGUGCAUCCGCUGUUGCUCUCUUGAGAAUUAGAUCCUGGCGGUUCCAUUCUUCCACUGAUUUCAAGUUCAACUGGGAUUUUUUUUUAAAGUGGGCAAAUACACCAACUCUUGAUUGAGUAAAAAGGUUUAUUGGCAAAGACAUGAGGCCAGAGAUAAAUUCCUGAAAAUGUUUUUUCAGAAGUUCCAUUUCUUCUCCUGGAUCCAAACUAAUCAAUGCCUUGACUAGUACAUGAAAUGCAAUCUAGAGACAAAAGAAAGUGAUUAAUUGUUAAUGUUAGUAUCUUGGAAAUAGUGAAUUUUAUGAGUGCAAACUUUGAAGAUAGGUUCUGACACCAACACAUGAGGGAGAAAGAAACAGACAAAGAUAGGCACAAACUCACAAACAAACACUCACAAACUCCUAUAGAGACAGAGAGGUAACCUUUUUUGUUUCAUCUUGUAUGUAAAUAGGUUGGUCCUCUUUCCAAUUUGCCAUUGAUUCUUGUACAUAUUUCUCCAUAUCUGUGGUAAUCUGAAUCUUUAACUGUUGAGACUUAAAGAAAGCUCCAAUAAGUCCAUGUAUUCUCCUUUGUAAGGUUCCAUUGAUGAGCAAAAUAGAAGAUUCUCCCAUCAACUCCAUCAA
This is an RNA transcript of Vicia villosa (hairy vetch), 1557 nucleotides long. It is a transcript of the gene named calcineurin B-like protein 9, with no coding region annotated. Lineage: Eukaryota; Viridiplantae; Streptophyta; Magnoliopsida; Fabales; Fabaceae. The transcript is spliced from 10 exons. The record is from RefSeq and is a predicted model, not a curated record.